CGAAAGCCUGACGGAGCAAUACCGCGUGAGGGAUGAAGGAUUUUGGUCUGUAAACCUCUUUUCUCAAGAAAGAAGUUCUGACGGUACUUGAGGAAUAAGCAUCGGCUAACUCCGUGCCAGCAGCCGCGGUAAUACGGGGGAUGCAAGCGUUAUCCGGAAUCAUUGGGCGUAAAGCGCCUGUAGGUUGUUUAGUAAGUCUGUUGUUAAAGACCAGGGCUUAACCCUGGGAAAGCAAUGGAAACUACUAGACUUGAGUAUGGCAGGGGUAGAGGGAAUUUCUAGUGUAGCGGUGAAAUGCGUAGAUAUUAGAAAGAACACCGGCGGCGAAAGCGCUCUACUGGACCAUUACUGACACUCAGAGGCGAAAGCUAGGGGAGCAAAAGGGAUUAGAUACCCCUGUAGUCCUAGCCGUAAACGAUGGAUACUAGAUGUUGCGCAAUUUGUGCAGUAUCUUAGCUAACGCGUUAAGUAUCCCGCCUGGGGAGUACGCUCGCAAGGGUGAAACUCAAAGGAAUUGACGGGGGCCCGCACAAGCGGUGGAGCAUGUGGUUUAAUUCGAUGCAACGCGAAGAACCUUACCAGGGCUUGACAUACUACAAAUCUUUUCGAAACGAAAGAGUGCCUUCGGGAAUGUAGAUACAGGUGGUGCAUGGCUGUCGUCAGCUCGUGUCGUGAGAUGUUGGGUUAAGUCCCGCAACGAGCGCAACCCUCAUUUUUAGUUGCCAAUUUAUUGGGAUUUCUAGAGAGACUGCCGGUGACAAACCGGAGGAAGGUGAGGAUGACGUCAAGUCAGCAUGCCCCUUAUGCCCUGGGCCACACACGUGCUACAAUGGCGAAGACAAAGAGUCGCAAACCUGCGAAGGCUAGCUAAUCUCGUAAACUUCGUCUAAGUUCGGAUUGCAG
Molecule: ribosomal RNA, 903 nt
Filed under: Emiliania huxleyi
Lineage: Eukaryota; Haptophyta; Isochrysidales; Noelaerhabdaceae
Description: bacterial SSU rRNA
Rfam family: Bacterial small subunit ribosomal RNA
Source: RNAcentral